This 104-nucleotide ribosomal RNA is filed under the name uncultured bacterium. RNAcentral's name for it is "partial 16S ribosomal RNA". It matches the Rfam family "Bacterial small subunit ribosomal RNA", at positions 390 to 509 of the family's 1533-position model. The record is from RNAcentral.
AGCAACGCCGCGUGAGGGAAGAAGGUUUUCGGAUUGUAAACCUCUGUCCUGGGGGACGAAGGAAGUGACGGUACCCCGGAGGAAGCCCCGGCUAACUACGUGCC